This 414-nucleotide ribosomal RNA is filed under the name uncultured microorganism. RNAcentral describes it as "bacterial SSU rRNA". It matches the Rfam family "Archaeal small subunit ribosomal RNA", at positions 459 to 872 of the family's 1478-position model. The record is from RNAcentral.
CAGCAGCCGCGGUAAUACCGGCGGCCCGAGUGGCGGCCACUAUUAUUGGGCUUAAAGCGUCCGUAGCCGGGUUGGUUAGUCUCCCGGGAAAUCUGGCCGCUUAACGGUCAGAAUUCCGGGAGAUACUGCCAGCCUAGGGACCGGGAGAGGCCGAGGGUAUUCCCGGAGUAGGGGUGAAAUCCUAUAAUCCCAGGAGGACCACCAGUGGCGAAGGCGCCCGGCUAGCACGCGCCCGACGGUGAGGGACGAAAGCUGGGGGAGCAAAGGGGAUUAGAUACCCCCGUAGUCCCAGCUGUAAACGAUGCAGGCUAGGUGUUAGGCGGGCUUCGUGCCCGCCUAGUGCCGUAGGGAAGCCGUUAAGCCUGCCGCCUGGGGAGUACGGCCGCAAGGCUGAAACUUAAAGGAAUUGGCGGG